GUCCACGCCGUAAACGAUGCGCGCUAGAUGUCGGGGGGCUUGCCUUUCGGUGUCGCAGCUAACGCGUUAAGCGCGCCGCCUGGGGAGUACGGCCGCAAGGUUAAAACUCAAAGGAAUUGAAUGGGGGCCCCGCGACAAGCGGUGGAGCAUGUGGUUUAAUUCGAAGCAACGCGAAGAACCUUACCAGCCCCUUGACAUGGGGAGUAUGGGCCCGAGAGAUCGGGCCCUUUCAGUUCGGCUGGCUCCCACACAGGUGCUGCAUGGCUGUCGU
RNAcentral lists this ribosomal RNA (271 nucleotides) under uncultured bacterium. RNAcentral describes it as "partial 16S ribosomal RNA". It matches the Rfam family "Bacterial small subunit ribosomal RNA", at positions 793 to 1055 of the family's 1533-position model. The record is from RNAcentral.